CCAAACUGGGAUUAGAUACCCCACUAUGCCCAGCCCUAAACACAAACAAUUUACACAACAAAAUUGUCUGCCAGAGAACUACUAGCAACAGCCUAAAACUCAAAGGACUUGGCGGUGCUUUACAUCCCUCUAGAGGAGCCUGUUCUGUAAUCGAUAAACCCCGAUAAACCUCACCACUCCUAGCUAAACCAGUCUAUAUACCGCCAUCUUCAGCAAACCCUUAAAAGGAAGAAAAGUAAGCACAAUAAUAUUACAUAAAAAAGUUAGGUCAAGGUGUAACCCAUGGAGUGGGAAGAAAUGGGCUACAUUUUCUUAUCAAGAAUACACUCACGAAAGUUUUCAUGAAAACUGAAAACUAAAGGUGGAUUUAGUAGUAAAUUAAGAAUAGAGAGCUUAAUUGAAUAGGGCCAUGAAGCACGCACACACCGCCCGUCACCCUCC
This 441-nucleotide ribosomal RNA is filed under the name Martes martes (European pine marten). RNAcentral's name for it is "partial small subunit ribosomal RNA". It matches the Rfam family "Bacterial small subunit ribosomal RNA", at positions 767 to 1405 of the family's 1533-position model. The record is from RNAcentral. Lineage: Eukaryota; Metazoa; Chordata; Mammalia; Carnivora; Mustelidae.